CCCUUAGAUGUUCUGGGCCGCACGCGCGCUACACUGACGAAGUCAGCGAGCAUCUCCUACGCCGAAAGGUGCGGGGAAUCUUGUGAAACUUUGUCGUGCUGGGGAUUGAUUUUUGAAAUUCUUGAUCAUCAACGAGGAAUUCCUAGUAAGCGCAAGUCAGCAGCUUGCGUUGAUUACGUCCCUGCCCUUUGUACACACCGCCCGUCGCUACUACCGAUUGAAUGGUUUAGUGAGAUUUUUGGACUGGAACGCUCUUGUUCAGCAAUGAACGAGAGGGACUCUGGGAAGCUAUUCUAACUGUAUCAUUUAGAGGAAGUAAAAGUCGUAACA
RNAcentral lists this ribosomal RNA (330 nucleotides) under uncultured eukaryote. RNAcentral describes it as "partial 18S ribosomal RNA". It matches the Rfam family "Eukaryotic small subunit ribosomal RNA", at positions 1470 to 1796 of the family's 1831-position model. The record is from RNAcentral.